This is a long non-coding RNA of Ostrea edulis (European flat oyster), 1192 nucleotides long. RefSeq lists it as uncharacterized. The record is from RefSeq and is a predicted model, not a curated record. Lineage: Eukaryota; Metazoa; Mollusca; Bivalvia; Ostreida; Ostreidae. The transcript has 2 exons.
CCAGAUAUUGUGUGUUCAUAAUUGAAUUGGAUCAAAUAAAGAUGCCCAUGGGCUUUAACAAUCACCUUAGUAUCAUACAAUGACAAGAGGCCCAUGGGCCACAACCAGUGUAUGAAGACAAGAGGCCCAUGGGCCACAACCAGUGUAUGAAACUUGCUGUAAAAUUAGCUAUAGACAUGUAAGGCUAACUGCUUGUAAAAGUUGUCAGCCCUGCCAAAGACUUACUAGCUCUGAGGUAAUAACUUGCGAUUUUUAAAUCAAUGGAAAAGCAUACCAUCGUCAACUUCUAUUUUCUACGGGGUUGCUUCAAAAGUAGGCAGUGAAAAUUAUUUCAAAUGAAAAAAAGGAAAAUAAACAUACAAUACAAAAGUGUGAGAUUCUAGGAAAAAGUCAUUAGUCACAACUAACUAACUAGAAAACCAUACAAGCCAACUUUCCCGAUUUGUGCGGGAUUCUCCCGAUUUGAAGCAGUUGAAAAGGCAAAUCCCGAUAUCCCGAUCGGGAUUGCAAAAAUACCCCGAAAUCCCGAUUUUCUAAAAAUAUCUCCCAUUUUACGACAACAACAACAACCCCAUUUCCAACCGGAAUUUGAAAUCCUGCGUCAUUUCUGAACUGGCCAAUCAGAAAUCGGGACAAUAGUCAGCCAUUGCUGUUUACCUGUGUUGCAUGGUAUCGGGGUUAUGUAAUUUACCUGAUCUGCCUGUGUCGGGGUGCUUAUUGGACAGUGCGAAGCAUGUUUUGAUAGUAAUUAAUCGGGAAGACGGAUUUCAAACUGACAUAUCCUUUACACAAACGUGAAUGACAACGAUAAUAGUGUCACCAUGCACCACCAAACAAUCGGACAUUCCCAAUUUUUUGCCUCUCGCUGACAGCAUCCAAAAUAUGCAAUAAGAUGUCAUGGUUGCAAAGGUUUUGUUUGCAAACUUCAUAGCAGGGCAGACUACUCCUUUUCUGGUUGCAAUGCAGAUUGUUCCACCAGACUCUGCAAGCCCAUGUUUACAGACAACCAAGAUCGCCUUUGUAGUCGUACCUAAAUGCAUGUGCUUCAAUUUAAAUUUUGAUAUAUAGACCAGCCAAUGCGUAUAUGGUGUAAAAGGAUGCAACUUUAAGUAUUAUUUGAUAUUUGUAUGUGACUUGUUGGAGAGGAUUUUUUGCUGAAUAGAUGAUUUUAAUAAAAUACUUAUGUAUAUCU